GACGAACGCUGGCGGCGUGCUUAACACAUGCAAGUCGAACGGAAAGGCCCUGCUUUUGUGGGGUGCUCGAGUGGCGAACGGGUGAGUAACACGUGAGUAACCUGCCCUUGACUUUGGGAUAACUUCAGGAAACUGGGGCUAAUACCGGAUAGGAGCUCCUGCUGCAUGGUGGGGGUUGGAAAGUUUCGGCGGUUGGGGAUGGACUCGCGGCUUAUCAGCUUGUUGGUGGGGUAGUGGCUUACCAAGGCUUCGACGGGUAGCCGGCCUGAGAGGGUGACCGGCCACAUUGGGACUGAGAUACGGCCCAGACUCCUACGGGAGGCAGCAGUGGGGAAUAUUGCACAAUGGGCGGAAGCCUGAUGCAGCAACGCCGCGUGCGGGAUGACGGCCUUCGGGUUGUAAACCGCUUUCGCCUGUGACGAAGCGUGAGUGACGGUAAUGGGGAAAGAAGCACCGGCUAACUACGU
RNAcentral lists this ribosomal RNA (467 nucleotides) under uncultured bacterium. RNAcentral's name for it is "partial 16S ribosomal RNA". It matches the Rfam family "Bacterial small subunit ribosomal RNA", at positions 28 to 506 of the family's 1533-position model. The record is from RNAcentral.